This 390-nucleotide unclassified non-coding RNA is filed under the name soil metagenome. RNAcentral's name for it is "partial contains 5.8S ribosomal RNA, internal transcribed spacer 2, and large subunit ribosomal RNA". The stretch from base 1 to 122 matches the Rfam family "5.8S ribosomal RNA", at positions 35 to 154 of the family's 154-position model. The record is from RNAcentral.
GAUGAAGAACGUAGCGAAAUGCGAUACUUGGUGUGAAUUGCAGAAUCCCGCGAAUCAUCGAGUUUUUGAACGCAAGUUGCGCCCGAAGCCAUUCGGCCGAGGGCACGUCUGCCUGGGUGUCACGCAUCGUUGCCCCCCCAAACUCCGGUUCGGGCGGGGCGGAAGUUGGCCUCCCGUGCGUGCCUGCGCGCGCGGUUAGCCCAAAAGCGAGUCCUCGGCGAUGAGCGCCACGACAAUCGGUGGUUUUUUUGCCCUCGUUCCUCGUCGUGCGUGCCCCGUCGCCCGAACGCGCUCUUGCAACCCUUACGCGUCGCCUCGGUGGCGCUCCCAACGCGACCCCAGGUCAGGCGGGACUACCCGCUGAGUUUAAGCAUAUCAAUAAGCGGAGGA